This 671-nucleotide long non-coding RNA is filed under the name Monodelphis domestica (gray short-tailed opossum). RNAcentral describes it as "lncRNA (ENSMODG00000039267.1)". Lineage: Eukaryota; Metazoa; Chordata; Mammalia; Didelphimorphia; Didelphidae. The record is from RNAcentral.
AAAGUAGGAAGGAAGGGAAAUUCUGUCCUACUGAAUACCAGGAUUUUCUAAUUUAAUUUAGCCCUCUGUUUUCACAGAAGCAACCAGUUUCCAGCCAGAAAGAUGGGACAGCUCUCUGAGUCUUCUUUCAUUCAAGCUGGAUUGGGGAAGGGAAAAAGAAAUCUCAGGGAGCCUUUUAUAACUUCUUGCCCUUGACUGACUAACUGCUCAGUCUUCAGCUUUUGCAUUCCGGAGUGAGUGUGGAGGCAUUGAGGUCUGCAGGAAUAAAUGAGAGAAGUCCAUAUGCCUCCAGGACUGGAUGACUGAAACAGCUGCAUUUGAAAGAAACACAAAAGAAGAUACUAAAUCCUGUCAUAUCAACCUCAACAGAAUGGGAAUCCUCUCAAAAGACCAGCGAAUAAGAAGUAUUGCCUGAGAGAGGACUAGGAUGAAGAGCUAGAAUUGUUACCACAGGUUCUUCCACCGCACCCAUAAUAACUGCUUACUUAUCUUCUCACUAGAAUGGUUUCUGGUCUCCAGGUAGUGGUGGGAGCUUGGAGAAGGAAGACCUUGGAAUGCAAAGUCUUGGGUUCUGAUUGAUAACUCUGUAUUUUACUACAUAUAGAGCUAUGAGCAAAUCCCCAAGUCUUGCUGAAAUUCAAUUUCCUUCUCUCAAAAGUAGGGAUAAAAAU